RNAcentral lists this ribosomal RNA (2829 nucleotides) under metagenome. Its description in RNAcentral is "bacterial LSU rRNA". It matches the Rfam family "Bacterial large subunit ribosomal RNA". The record is from RNAcentral.
UCAAGCUACAAAGAGCACAAGGGGAAUGCCUUGGCACCGAGAGCCGAAGAAGGACGUGACUAACUGCGAUAAGCUGCGGGGAGCCGUAAGUAGGCUUUGAUCCGCAGAUUUCCGAAUGGAGCAAUCCGGCAAGAGGAAAGUCUUGUCAUCAUAUACUGAAUACAUAGGUAUAUGAGGGGAACCGCCUGAACUGAAACAUCUAAGUAGGGCGAGGAAGAGAAAUCAACUGAGAUUCCGUAAGUAGUGGCGAGCGAACGCGGAAGAGGCCAAACCGAGAGUAGUAAUACUUUCGGGGUUCGGACAGAAUACGGUAUUGUAAAGGUUUAGUGGAAUGGAAUGGGAAGUCCAACCGAAGAAGGUGAGAGUCCUGUACACGAAAAGCCUGAACAGCCAUCUGUAUCCAGAGUACCGCCGGACACGUGAAACCCGGUGGGAAUACGGGGGGACCACCCUCCAAGCCUAAAUACUACCCAGUGACCGAUAGCGUAUAGUACUGUGAAGGAAAGGUGAAAAGCACCCCGGGAGGGGAGUGAAAUAGAACCUGAAACCCUGUGCUUACAAGCACCGAGAGCACGUCAAUGUGUGAUCGGGUACCUUUUGUAGAAUGGUCCGGCGAGCGUAUGUAUGUAGCAAGGUUAAGAACUUAAGGUUCGAAGCCGCAGGGAAACCAAGUCUGAAUAGGGCGAAUGAGUUGCAUGCAUAGGGCCCGAAACCAGGUGACCUAGCCAUGUCCAGGUUGAAGUGAGAGUAAAAUCUCAUGGAGGACCGAACCGACCUCCGUUGAAAAGGCGGCGGAUGAGGUGUGGCUAGCGGAGAAAUUCCAAUCGAACUCGGAUAUAGCUGGUUCUCCUCGAAAUAGCUUUAGGGCUAGCGUUGUGAAUGAUUACCGGAGGUAAAGCACUGAAUGGGCUAGGGGACGAAAGUUUACUGAACCCUAUCAAACUAAGAAUGCCGGAUAAUAGAGAUCACAGCAGUCAGACUGUGUGAGAUAAGUCUCAUAGUCAAAAGGGAAAGAGCCCAGACCCACAGCUAAGGUCCCAAAAUAGAUUUAAGUGGAAAAGGAUGUGGGGUUGCCCAGACAACCAGGAUGUUGGCUUAGAAGCAGCCAAACAUUAAAAGAGUGCGUAAUAGCUCACUGGUCGAGUGACCCUGCGCCGAAAAUUCAUCGGGGCUAAAAUGUACACCGAAGCUUGGGAUGAUGACUUUGUCAUCGUGGUAGGAGAGCGUCGUAUAAGGGGUGAAGUCAGAGCGGAAGCGCUGGUGGACUUUAUACGAGUGAGAAUGCCGGAAUGAGUAGCGAGAAUUAUGUGAGAAUCAUAAUGGCCGAAAGUCUAAGGUUUUAGGAGGAAGGUUCGUCCGCUCCUAGUAAGCCGGGAGCUAAGGUGAGGCGGAAACGCGUAGCCGAUGCACAUACGGUAGAAAAUCCGUAGCCUCCAAAAUAUUUAAGCACAGUGACACUAGGAAAGUCUUUAGCCGGGUGAUGGUUACCCCGGUCGAAAGGGACUGCGAAAGCGGGAAGUAAAGAUGGACAGAGGCGAGAAAAGCUGUGUGUAUAUAUGAGGAGCCCGUACCGCAAACCGACACAGGUAGACAGGAAGAGAAUUCUAAGGCCAACGGGAGAAAGGUUGUUAAGGAACUCGGCAAGUUGACCCCGUAACUUAGGGAUAAGGGGUGCUCAAGAAAUUGAGCCGCAGAGAAUAGGCCCAAGCGACUGUUUAGCAAAAACACAGCUCUAUGCUAAAUCGAAAGAUGACGUAUAUGGGGUGACACCUGCCCGGUGCUGGAAGGUUAAGAGGAGAAGUGAGAGCUUUGAAUUGAAGCCCCAGUAAACGGCGGCCGUAACUAUAACGGUCCUAAGGUAGCGAAAUUCCUUGUCGGGUAAGUUCCGACCUGCACGAAUGGCGUAACGACUUCUCCACUGUCUCAACCACGAACUCGGCGAAAUUGCACUACGAGUAAAGAUGCUCGUUACGCGCAGCAGGACGGAAAGACCCCGGGACCUUUACUAUAGUUUGGUAUUGGUGAUCGGUACGACUUGUGUAGGAUAGGUGGGAGACUGUGAAGCUUGGACGCUAGUUCAGGUGGAGUCAUUGUUGAAAUACCACUCUGGUCGUUCUGGUUAUCUAACUUCGGACCAUGAUCUGGUUCAGGGACAGUGCCUGAUGGGUAGUUUGACUGGGGCGGUCGCCUCCCAAAAGGUAACGGAGGCGCCCAAAGGUUCCCUCAGGCUGGUCGGUAAUCAGCCGUCGAGUGUAAAGGCAGAAGGGAGCUUGACUGCGAGAGCGACAGUUCGAGCAGAGACGAAAGUCGGGCUUAGUGAUCCGGUGGUUCUGCGUGGAAGGGCCAUCGCUCAACGGAUAAAAGGUACGCCGGGGAUAACAGGCUGAUCUCCCCCAAGAGUUCACAUCGACGGGGAGGUUUGGCACCUCGAUGUCGACUCAUCGCAUCCUGGGGCUGAAGCUGGUCCCAAGGGUUAGGCUGUUCGCCUAUUAAAGCGGUACGAGAGUUGGGUUCAGAACGUCGUGAGACAGUUCGGUCCCUAUCUGUUGUGGGCGGAGGAGAGUUGAGAGGGGCGUUCACUAGUACGAGAGGACUGUGAAGGAUGAACCUCUGGUGUGCCGGUUGUCGUGCCAACGGCAGUGCCGGGUAGCUAUGUUCAGUUGGGAUAACCGCUGAAAGCAUCUAAGCGGGAAGCCUGCCUCAAGAUAAGCUCUCCCGGGGCGCAAGCCCCCUAAAGGACACUUGUAGACUACGAGUUUGAUAGGCUGGGUGUGGAAGGCUCGUAAGGGCUGUAGCUAACCAGUACUAAUCGUCCGUGCGGCUUAACAU